AGUUUCCAGUGGCCAGGGGUACGCGCGGCCGGAGGGGCGCCGGGGCCGUACUCACCGCGGCCGUUCUGGUUGGGCCGGUACACGCUGCCCACGCUGAGGCGGCCCUGCUGCGCGCCGUUCCGCUCCCCACCCGGCGGGGGCGUGUCGGAGCUGCGCACCGGCAGGAGCUCCUGCCUGCCUGGAUGAAGAGGAGGUCAAGACUUUGUCCCCCACUCCGCAAGAUACCCUCUCUGUUCCGGAGCGGUGAGACAGGAUUUCACCAUGUUAGCCAGGAUGGUCUUGAUCUCCUGACCUCAUGAUCUGCCCACCUCGGCCUCCCAAAGUGCUGGGCUUACAGGCGUGAGCCACCGUGCCCGGCCAAAAAUAACUUUUAAAAACAUGAGUAUAGCAUACACACACACAAAAGUCCACAAAUCCUAGGUGUACCACUUGAUGAAUGAUCCCAACGUGAGCACACCUCUGGAUUACCACCUGGAUCAAGAAAUAGGACAUCACAGCAGCUGGCAGCUUCCAAGGAGAAGCUCUGGAAAGUUCUGCCUGUCUCAGCACCUGGCUGGAUCGGAAACGAGUUUUCUUUAACCAGAUUUUUAAUGACUGACUUAUGUGGACAAAUCAUAACUGAAUGAAUCACCUCCUUUGUUGAUUUUUUUGGGUACUUUAUUUGCUAUUAUAAAUGAUGCUGUAAUAAGCACCCUUGAAGAAAUCUUCAUAUCUGCCUCUCCUGUGUAGCAGGUCACAGUGCCUGGGUUUGGUUCUAGCCCUCAUUUGUGAACUGUGUGACUCACCAUGCCUUUUUUCUUUCUGUAAGACAGGAAUAAUGGUAAGAAUUUAAAUGGGGGUAAUAUGGAGCGCGUUUAGUUCAGAGCCUGGUGCAUACAAGCACUCAAUAAGUACUGGCGAUUAUUAGACCUUUAGAUUAAUUUAUUAGAAGUUGGAUUUCUGGUGAAAGGGUUUGAGUGUUUUUGAGGCUUUGGCACAGAAUACCCAGCUGGUCCCAGAAAGGUGGUUCCCAUUUACCUGCCCGAAGGUAAUUCACCCUUACUGAUACUGAGUACUGUUUUCUAAAAGAACAUUAAAAAUUGGAUAGGUUAAAAACAGGUGAAUACAUUUUUUUAGUUGCAUUUUUUUGGUUACCCGUGAGAGUGAACAUGUUGCCAUGUGUUUGCUGACCUCCUAAAUGGUCUAUUUGCUCCUACCUUUGUACCCCAAAAGUCUGCUCUCAAGAUGGUAGCCAGAAUGAUCCUUUUUGAGACAUAAGUCAAAAUUUCACUCUUCUCCUUAAAGCUCUGCAAUGGUUCUCAGGUUAAAAGCCAAAGUCCUGUUCAAGGCCUCCAGGGUCCUCACCACUUGGUCCCUUGCUCUUUCUGUUCUAGCCAACUUGGCCUUCUCCUGCCCCUCCGCCGCACCAUGGCAAUUUCCCCUGCUCUGUGUGGUCAACUACCUGAAUCUGUUCAAAGCUUUGCUCAAAUGUCUCCUUCCUGAUGAGACCUCCCCAGCCCCUGAGCUCCCCAUGCCUCACUCCUGAUCGCCUUACUUAACCCUUCUUUUUCUUUUUUGCCAGUAGUACUUAUCACCGUCUAAAAUACUUCAUAAUUUACUUGUUUAUUGUUUGCCCCUCUCCAAUAGAAUGUAAGCUCCUUGGGGCAGGGACCUUUGUCCUUUGUCUUGUUCACUGCUGUGUCCCAUGUGUAAACUUGUCUGGCACAGAAGAGGUGCUCGAUAAAUAUUUGUUGAGUGAAUGAAUGGUAAAUUUUCUGUUCAUAUUCUUUGACUAUUUUCUAUUGUAAUGUUCAUCUUUUUAGUAUUGGUUUAUAAGAUGUAUAUUUAGCACCUUUUCAUAUAUCACUCUUUGUCACAUAUUAUGCAACUAAUUUGUCAUUUCCAUCAAUUUUUAAAAUACUUUCUUGAUGCUUCAUUUUUAAGCUGUCAGAUUAUUAAUCUUUUCUUUAUGGUCUUGGACUUUAUUGUUGCAUAACCGCUGCCUUCACCAGGAACAUAUAAAUUUUCAAUUAAAUGUUCUUCUGAGAUUUUAUGAUUUCACUUUUUAUAUUAAACUCUUCAUUUUGUCUUCAUGUGUGGUGAGAGGUAAGAACAUAACUUUAAAGCAAAUUAACCAACUAUCCCCAAAUGAAUUAUAAAUAAAUUAAUCAUUUUCCAAUGAUCUGAAAGGCCAUUUUAUCAUACACUAAAUAUUUUUGUGUGUUUGACUGGGUUUACCGUUCUGUUCCGUUGGCCUAUCACAUCGUUCUUACAUUGGUAUUUGUUGCCCUAUUUUAAUGAUUGUAACUUUUUAAUAAGGGUUAAUGACUGAGAAUACAAGUCCCAUUGUUUUGUUUUAUUAUUUUUAUUAUUUUUUUGAGACAGGGUUUCACUCUGUCACCCAGGCUGGAGUAUAGUAGCACUAUCUCGGCUCAUUGCAACCUCUGCCUCCCUGGUUCAAGUGAUUCUCCCACCUCAACCUCCCGAGUAGCUGGGACUACAGAUGCAUGCCACCACACCCAGCUAAUUCUUGUAUUUUUAGUAGAGACAGGGUUUCACCAUGUUGACCAGGCUGGUCUUGAACUCCUGGCUUCAAGUGAUUCACCUGCCUCGACCUCCCAAAGUGCUGGGAUUACAGGCGUGACUCACCACGCCUGGCCCAUUUUUUUCUUUUGAGGUGUUCUUUGUGGCAAUUCAUAUAUUCUUUAAGAUAAAUUCUAAACUUUUUUUUUCUGCCGAGAUAAACUAGCAGACAAAUCCCACUGGACAUUGCAAUUGGAUUAGUUUUGUAGAUUAAUUUAGUGAUAAUCAACUUCUUUGCACCAUUGAGUGCUUCUGUCCGGGAACGUGGCAUAUCUUUCUAUUAUUAAGGUCUUUUUUAUUAUAGGUCUUUAGGGAAGCUUUAUUUUAUAGAUGAAUGUAGUGUGUUUGGUGCUUAUUUUCAUAAAAUAAAGCAAUGACAUCUGUGGCAGGCAGCUUCUGAAAUGGCUCCCAAUGAUCCUUACCUUCUGAUAGUCACCCCCUUGGAGAAUCCCUUUCCUUUGUGUGUGGGCUGGAUCUAGUGACUUGCUUCUCAUAAAUAGAAUAUGGCAAAAAAUGAUGGGUUGUUACUUCUGAGAUUAGGUUAUAAGAGGCGAAUUUCUGUUUUGCUGUAAUUUUGUCUCUCUAACCCUCUUGCUUUCCUGUGCUCAUGAAACCAGCUGCUGUGUUGUGAGCCACCUUAUGGAAAACCCAUGUGGCAGAGAACCGAGGGUGGUGGCUGGCCAACAGCAAGCCAGGAGCUGAGGCCCACAGUCCAACAACUGGUGAGGAACCACAUGCUGCCAGCAGCCAUGUGAGGGAACUUAGAAGCAAAUCCUUCCCCAGUUGAGCCUUCAGAUGACACCAGAGCCUUGGCUGACCCCUUACUUUUACCCUUGUAAGAGACUUUGAGCCAGAAGACUUGGCUAAACCACACCUGGAUUCCUGACCCACAGAAACUUGAAAUAAUAAAUGUGUUGUUUUAAGU
RNAcentral lists this long non-coding RNA (3487 nucleotides) under Homo sapiens (human). RNAcentral's name for it is "non-protein coding LOXL1-AS1:33". Lineage: Eukaryota; Metazoa; Chordata; Mammalia; Primates; Hominidae. The record is from RNAcentral.